UGGCCUGAUGUCACACAGCUUUAGUUUACAGUGCGCUCCUACACACCUUAUGUCCUGUCCUAAAGCUGUGCGCUGACAGGCGCCCAGAGAGGAAGACCAGGGGGCGUGACCAGAAGCUUGACUCAUGGAGGGUUUGCUUUGCCUCUGAUUCUCGUGAGCCAUGCAUUGGGCCUGAUGCUUUUAUCACACAUAAAGACUUUGUAUCCUCCCAGGGCAAUGUCUAUUAUCAUGACAUAGCUCUAUUGCACCUGUCCGAAAAGGUGUCCAAUAUACAGCCAGUUUGCUUGCCUUAUUCUGAGGAGACCGUCUCAUCUGGAGAUAUUUGCUACUGGACAGGCUGGACCACUGCUAAGACAGGUGGAAUUAAUACCCACACAAAAUUUCAGGUGCCAAUACCCAUCAUGCCCUAUGAAACCUGCAGUAAGCCAAGUUUUUGGCAGAACCAAUUAACUACAUCUAUGGUUUGCGCUGGAUUUGAAUCUCCAGACAAAUUAAAGUCUUCUUGCAAGAGUGGGGCUGAAGGAGCAUUGAUCUGCCAAUCAGCUUCAAACUCUGCUUGGGAAGUUCAAGGAAUCACGAGUUUUGGGCCUAACAACUGUCUAGUGGAAAGAAAACCUCAGGUGUUCACCAAAGUGUCGGCCUACAGAGAAUGGGUUGAGGACCAGAUGAAAAAAUACAGUUACGAGAAGAAGAUUGCAUAAAUGUAUUAUUUGGACUAUUUGAGAUAACUGGUGAAUAACAGCUUAAUAAGUAAUAAAAUAAAGGAAUAAUCUUUCUGAUGUGCAU
This is a long non-coding RNA of Bufo bufo (common toad), 786 nucleotides long. RefSeq lists it as uncharacterized. The record is from RefSeq and is a predicted model, not a curated record. The transcript is spliced from 4 exons. Lineage: Eukaryota; Metazoa; Chordata; Amphibia; Anura; Bufonidae.